This is a long non-coding RNA of Priapulus caudatus, 328 nucleotides long. RefSeq lists it as uncharacterized. The transcript is spliced from 3 exons. The record is from RefSeq and is a predicted model, not a curated record. NCBI's taxonomy places the organism in Eukaryota, Metazoa, Priapulida, Priapulimorpha, Priapulimorphida, Priapulidae.
CUAACAGCGACAUCAGCUAUUUCUUCAUCGACGACGACUACUCUCCCGUCGUCGACGGCAACUUCAUCGUCGACGAAUUCACGGGCGUGAUAACGGCGCGGACGCAGAUCGACUUCGAGUUGAUGGACCCGGACACGCAGGGAGCGACGUCGCCGUGGUACCGCAGCUUCUCGCUCGUCGCCAUGGCGAUCGACCACGGCGAGCCGCCGCUCAACUCCACCGUUCCCGUGACGAUAUACGUCGAGGACGUCAACGACAACUCUCCCAUCUUUGAUCCGGACGCGUACGAGGUCGUCGUCGAUGAGACGGUUGCCGCGGGGACGCACAU